Molecule: long non-coding RNA, 1665 nt
Organism: Rosa chinensis
Lineage: Eukaryota; Viridiplantae; Streptophyta; Magnoliopsida; Rosales; Rosaceae
Exons: 3
Source: RefSeq, a predicted model, not a curated record
GAGUUUUGGAGAAUGAAAACUUCCCACUUUCCACGAAAAACAAAAAAAAAUCAAAUUCCCACGUCCUUAAGACCUGAACUGAUCUGUCACCGAAAUCUCUCCCUUCUUUCGGCUACCUCUCUCUCUUUGAUCUCUCUCUCUCUCUCUCUCUCUGAUCUCUCUCUCUCUGCAAUUACCAAAGGCCAAAAAUUUCUCAGAAGACCGAAUUCUUGUUACAAAGGAAUCCAACCCAAGCGCAAUGAAGCCCGACUUCAUCCUCCUCGAUGUCUGAUUUAUAAUUGACAAGCCUGAACCAAGACCUUCUUAUCACAUCUACCAUUUGGUUCAUUCUUAUCUUCGCAUUUCGUAUCAUCCUAUUGCAAUUUCCAUUUCAUAUAUAUUAUUUUUUGAACUCUAGAAAUUGAGUUCUGAAAAACUCGGCAACUCCCCACAUUUGUUGCAGUUACCAUAAGUUUCGAAUUCUAAUUGUACUCUCCCUCUAAAUCAUUGCUGCACGGAGCACAUUUGAAGGAGCCAUUGGUGAACAACUGUAGAUCGGCAAAAAGGAGGGAGUUGAACUAUUGAAGAACUUGAAGGAAAACCUCAAUUGAUCUGCUUUUACUCAUUAUAUGUGUUUUUACUUGGUAUAUAAUGCGUGACAUCAAUUGGAAAUUGCAGGUUCACUUGGAACUUAAAUGAAUUGAAGCAUCUAACAAUUAAGGAUGAGAUGACGCCGUUUUGUGUCUUUAUUUUCUUAAGUUUUGCACUAUGAAUGUGUCUACAGUAGAUCGGGGAGAAAGAACAAGAAGAAAAAUUAAGAACAGCAGCCCCAUAAGGAAAAGCUGUGGACAAAGCAAGUGACCUUGAAUUUGCCUUGCAUUUUUGCAAAUGCUGAAGACAUUGAGGUUUUAUUUUCUUUCUUCUUGUUUUUUCUUUCUUUCUAUUUUUUUGGGUACUGUAGUUCAUUCCCCAAAACCGUUAUUAUCUUUGUUUUCAAAUUUUUUUUUUAAAGAGGAGAAUAGGACCUAGUUGGUGGAUGUGAAGCUUUUUUCAAUUUCUUUUGUAGUUGUUUCACUAAAAUCAUCAUUAUGUUUGUUUGUUUGGUUAUUAGAUUUGAUAUGCAAGAUGAGAUGAAAAUUGGAGUACUAGACAUGGUUAUAUAUGCGGUGACAACUUUCUUAAAAUGUGGGCUUCAGUUUGAUUUCAAGAUGAUUUAAUUAAAUUUACAAUCCAUAGGUGCUAUGGAAUUACAACAUUCGAGUUGAAGUACAUGGACAAAAAUGGUGUUAUAUUUGCUCGAGUGCUAUGAAACGUUGUUUUCCUGCAUCUAUUCCUGAGAUUAUGUGUUUUGGCGUUAUUUUACUUGUUGCAUUGGUUUCACUAGAUAAUUCAAGGGGUUGCUGCUCUAUUGGAUUUGCACAAGGAUUUUCUGCAAUGUUUUGUGCAAGGAAGAGUUGUUCUUCUCUCAUUCCAAGGGUGCUUAUUCAUAUAACAUUUUAAUUAUAUUAAUUCUUGGGUACCAAUUUGAUUUCAAUAGCCAAGAUAUUUAAUUUUGAUCGGUUGAACUUUUGUUGCUUUCCAUUAUGUAAGUUAUUUAUGUUUUUUGUUACUAAGAGGUCAGGCCUUAUGUCCCCCUCUCUAGCUAUUGUAUUUUUUUUUUGUGCUAAUAAACAAUACCUCUUAUCA